GAUGAACGCUAGCGAUAGGCUUAACACAUGCAAGUCGAGGGGCAGCACAAGGUAGCUUGCUAUCUGGGUGGCGACCGGCGCACGGGUGCGUAACGCGUAUGCAACUUGCCCUAUACAGGAGGAUAACCCGUCGAAAGACGGACUAAUACUGCGUAUGCUCACAACUUGGCAUCAAGUGGUGAGGAAAGAAAUUCGGUAUAGGAUAGGCAUGCGUCCCAUUAGCUUGUUGGUGAGGUAACGGCUCACCAAGGCAACGAUGGGUAGGGGAACUGAGAGGUAUAUCCCCCACACUGGUACUGAGACACGGACCAGACUCCUACGGGAGGCAGCAGUGAGGAAUAUUGGUCAAUGGGCGCGAGCCUGAACCAGCCAAGUCGCGUGAAGGAUGACUGUCUUAUGGAUUGUAAACUUCUUUUAUACGGGAAUAACAAGAGUCACGUGUGACUCCCUGCAUGUACCGUAUGAAUAAGCAUCGGCUAACUCCGUG
This 487-nucleotide ribosomal RNA is filed under the name uncultured bacterium. Its description in RNAcentral is "partial 16S ribosomal RNA". It matches the Rfam family "Bacterial small subunit ribosomal RNA", at positions 28 to 507 of the family's 1533-position model. The record is from RNAcentral.